Molecule: ribosomal RNA, 396 nt
Filed under: Staphylococcus aureus
Lineage: Bacteria; Bacillati; Bacillota; Bacilli; Caryophanales; Staphylococcaceae
Description: bacterial SSU rRNA
Rfam family: Bacterial small subunit ribosomal RNA
Source: RNAcentral
UGACUGCCGGUGACAAACCGGAGGAAGGUGGGGAUGACGUCAAAUCAUCAUGCCCCUUAUGAUUUGGGCUACACACGUGCUACAAUGGACAAUACAAAGGGCAGCGAAACCGCGAGGUCAAGCAAAUCCCAUAAAGUUGUUCUCAGUUCGGAUUGUAGUCUGCAACUCGACUACAUGAAGCUGGAAUCGCUAGUAAUCGUAGAUCAGCAUGCUACGGUGAAUACGUUCCCGGGUCUUGUACACACCGCCCGUCACACCACGAGAGUUUGUAACACCCGAAGCCGGUGGAGUAACCUUUUAGGAGCUAGCCGUCGAAGGUGGGACAAAUGAUUGGGGUGAAGUCGUAACAAGGUAGCCGUAUCGGAAGGUGCGGCUGGAUCACCUCCUUUCUAAGGA